ACUCAGACCUGGCAGGGGAGAUACCAUUGUCGUAAGAGUGGUUUUCCCAGGGUAAGGCUCAUCUAUUGCACUUUGAAUGAGCUUACUGGGCUGCAGGAGGCAGAUCCUAGAAAGCUAGCAGUGCAGAAUGGUGAGGUCCAAACAGAAAGCAGUCUCUGCUGCCAGUUC
Molecule: small nuclear RNA, 168 nt
Filed under: Pogona vitticeps (central bearded dragon)
Lineage: Eukaryota; Metazoa; Chordata; Lepidosauria; Squamata; Agamidae
Description: U1 spliceosomal RNA (ENSPVIG00000004079.1)
Source: RNAcentral